Molecule: unclassified non-coding RNA, 336 nt
Filed under: soil metagenome
Description: partial contains 5.8S ribosomal RNA, internal transcribed spacer 2, and large subunit ribosomal RNA
Rfam family: 5.8S ribosomal RNA (bases 1-120)
Source: RNAcentral
GAUGAAGAACGUAGCGAAAUGCGAUAAGUAGUGUGAAUUGCAGAAUUCAGUGAAUCAUCGAAUCUUUGAACGCACAUUGCGCCCGCCAGUAUUCUGGCGGGCAUGCCUGUUCGAGCGUCAUUUCAACCAUCAAGCCCCAGGCUUGUGUUGGGGACCUGCGGCUGCCGCAGGCCCUGAAAACCAGUGGCGGGCUCGCUGUCACACCGGGCGUAGUAGAUUUUAUCUCGCUCAGGGCGUGCUGCGGGUUCCGGCCGUUAAAAAGCCUUUUUUACCCAAGGUUGACCUCGGAUCAGGUAGGAAUACCCGCUGAACUUAAGCAUAUCAAUAAGCGGAGGA